AAUAUAUGUGUUUAAUUAUGACUGAAGCCAAAGAAGUACUCAUCUUCAAAUCAUGGAUUGUUUGAACUCCUAAGAAACCAAAAACAAAUUAAACAUCCUUAUCAGUAGGAAGACUUAAAGCUGAAGAUUGGCCCACAAGGGUGAGCAAUAUUUUUGGCUGAUAUAUGUAUGUAGUGCGACUAGUGACAACACUGGCCUAUAAUUCACCAAUUUUCUCUAUCGUGCUCGCCCAGCAGCCUCCAAAAGAGAAAGUCCAAAAGGAAACAAUGACAGGUCCAAUCGCAAUCACUUGCCUUCCCCCAUUUAGUGUCUGAUUCAUUGUCGAGAAGUUUGAUUUUACUCGAGACUUGUUGUUUGUUUGUCAAUUUUACAUAUAUAUAAUCAAUAAUUAUGCAACUAUGCAAAAGCCGUGUGGUAUGGAAGUUGAUAGUACAACGCUGUGGCCACGUCGCCCUUCGCAUCAUAAUCCAAAAUUAAUCAAUAAAAGGAAACAACCGCCAGGUCCUGAUCAUCUCUUCUGUCUCCAUUUGCAAGUUGGAGGUGGAAAAGAAUUAUUGAACUUUAGGUAAAGAAAAUAAGAAAUCCACCAUUGAUGCUGUCUUCAUGAAAUGAAAUGAAAUGAAAGAGAAGCUGCCUGCCAUAGGGGUCAGGUGUGAACACUCUAGCUGCCCUAAUAAAACUCCUGUCCUCAAUAAUUUCAGAGGUUGAAAGAUUAUUCAGCGCAAUGUCGUGGACAUUUCGGUUUUUUCCCUUUUGAAAGUGACAUGCUGGACAGAAAGUCGUGAGAAAAAUCGUCCACCAUUUGGUUCUUUCUCAGAAGCAGCAUUCUGAGCGAGCAAGACUGAAUGGAAGGAAGGCAUAUGUGAUGAUGAUGAUGGGAUUCAUCUUGCUUUAUGACAAAGGACUAAAUUGGACUUAUUUUGCUAGGAAUCUUUCGAAUUAAUGUUGUUUCACAACUAUAUACAUACGUACAAGCCAUGUAUGCAAUCAAUUACAUAAACAAAUCUAUACUUUCACCUACAAUAACAUGCAUGGUUAUUGCCUAGCUGCUCAUGAGCCAAAUUA
RNAcentral lists this long non-coding RNA (1065 nucleotides) under Vitis vinifera (wine grape). RNAcentral describes it as "long non-coding RNA (VVIN_LNC003308)". Lineage: Eukaryota; Viridiplantae; Streptophyta; Magnoliopsida; Vitales; Vitaceae. The record is from RNAcentral.